This 446-nucleotide ribosomal RNA is filed under the name uncultured bacterium. RNAcentral's name for it is "partial 16S ribosomal RNA". It matches the Rfam family "Bacterial small subunit ribosomal RNA", at positions 338 to 795 of the family's 1533-position model. The record is from RNAcentral.
CCUACGGGCGGCAGCAGUAGGGAAUUUUCGGCAAUGGGGGGAACCCUGACCGAGCAACGCCGCGUGAACGAAGAAGUUAUUCGUAAUGUAAAGUUCUUUUAACAGGGAAGAAAGAGAAAUUUGACGGUACCUGAUGAAUAAGCUCCGGCUAAUUACGUGCCAGCAGCCGCGGUAAUACGUAGGGAGCGAGCGUUAUCUGGAUUUAUUGGGCGAAAGGGGUGCGUAGAUGGCAUAUUAAGGCUUUUGUAAAAAUGCUGGGCUCAACCCAGUAGGGCAAAAGAUACUGCAAAGCUAGAGUAUGACAGACGCAAGUGGAACUACAUGUGUAGCGGUAAAAUGCGUAGAUAUAUGUAAGAACACCAGUGGCGAAGGCAGCUUGCUGGGUCGAUACUGACAUUGAGGCACGAAAGCGUGGGGAGCGAACAGGAUUAGAUACCCGGGUAGUC